This 402-nucleotide ribosomal RNA is filed under the name uncultured bacterium. Its description in RNAcentral is "bacterial SSU rRNA". It matches the Rfam family "Bacterial small subunit ribosomal RNA", at positions 29 to 413 of the family's 1533-position model. The record is from RNAcentral.
AAUCAACGCUGGCGGCGUGCCUCAGACAUGCAAGUCGAACGCGAAAGGCCCCUUCGGGGGCCGAGUAGAGUGGCGCACGGGUGAGUAACACGUAGGUAAUCUACCUCUGGGUGGGGAAUAACAGUCGGAAACGGCUGCUAAUACCGCAUAAUGCAGCGGCACCACAUGGUGACAGUUGUUAAAGCGGGGGAUCGUAAGGCCUCGCGCCUAGAGAUGAGCCUGCGGCGGAUUAGCUAGUUGGCAGGGUAACGGCCUACCAAGGCGACGAUCCGUAGCCGGCCUGAGAGGGCGGACGGCCACACUGGCACUGACAUACGGGCCAGACUCCUACGGGAGGCAGCAGUCGGGAAUUUUGGGCAAUGGGCGAAAGCCUGACCCAGCAACGCCGCGUGAAGGAUGAAG